CAGGGAGACAACAAAAUGUUUAAUAUUAUUAUUUUGNACCUUAGGGCGAUCGGUAUCUCACAUUCUUAAUUUAUUAAGGAUUUCAUUUCCUAAGUUUUUUCUAGGUCACACCCAUUAUUUUUCCUGGGCCAUUAGCUCAGGGGGUUAAAGCGCACCCCUGUUAAGGGUGAGGGCCCUGGUUCAAGUCCAGGAUGGCCCUUAUCUCUAUGUUGGGGGUUUAGCUCAUUUGGUAAAGCGCCUGCUUUGCAAGCAGGAUGUCAGCGGUUCUAGUCCGCUUACCUCCACUGAUUACCACCUCUNACAUAAUCUGAUAAAAGAAAUGUUUUGAGCUGUGAUAAAAUUCUGAACUNUCUAUCUUCCUAAUGAAAUCAUUAAGAUGCUGGACUUANUGAAUUAAUUUCAUUGUUUUCAAACAACCUUGACUACUGCAUAUAUUAUUUUUAAAGACAAUAAGCUUUUUUAAUGAUGCAUAUUUAUUAUUNGUGCGUAUGCAUUACAUUACAAUUCAAUUAAGUCGAUUCUUCAUUUUUUGAUGUUAUU
Molecule: transfer RNA, 540 nt
Filed under: uncultured Prochlorococcus sp.
Lineage: Bacteria; Bacillati; Cyanobacteriota; Cyanophyceae; Synechococcales; Prochlorococcaceae
Description: partial 16S-23S ribosomal RNA intergenic spacer
Rfam family: tRNA (bases 126-199)
Source: RNAcentral